GACGAACGCUGGCGGCGUGCUUAACACAUGCAAGUCGAACGGAAAGGCCCUGCUUUUGUGGGGUGCUCGAGUGGCGAACGGGUGAGUAACACGUGAGUAACCUGCCUUUGACUUUGGGAUAACUUCAGGAAACUGGGGCUAAUACCGGAUAGGAGCUCCUGCUGCAUGGUGGGGGUUGGAAAGUUUCGGCGGUUGGGGAUGGACUCGCGGCUUAUCAGCUUGUUGGUGGGGUAGUGGCUUACCAAGGCUUUGACGGGUAGCCGGCCUGAGAGGGUGACCGGCCACAUUGGGACUGAGAUACGGCCCAGACUCCUACGGGAGGCAGCAGUGGGGAAUAUUGCACAAUGGGCGGAAGCCUGAUGCAGCAACGCCGCGUGCGGGAUGACGGCCUUCGGGUUGUAAACCGCUUUCGCCUGUGACGAAGCGUGAGUGACGGUAAUGGGUAAAGAAGCACCGGCUAACUACGUG
This 468-nucleotide ribosomal RNA is filed under the name uncultured bacterium. Its description in RNAcentral is "partial 16S ribosomal RNA". It matches the Rfam family "Bacterial small subunit ribosomal RNA", at positions 28 to 507 of the family's 1533-position model. The record is from RNAcentral.